This 600-nucleotide ribosomal RNA is filed under the name uncultured bacterium. Its description in RNAcentral is "bacterial SSU rRNA". It matches the Rfam family "Bacterial small subunit ribosomal RNA", at positions 112 to 736 of the family's 1533-position model. The record is from RNAcentral.
AACACGUGUGCACCUGCCUUAUCUGGGGGAUAGCCUUUCGAAAGGAAGAUAUACCCAUAUAUGUUGAAUGGCAUCAUUCGACAUUGAAACUCGGUGGAUAAAAUGGGCACGCGCAAUAAAUAUUGUGAGGUACGUCACCAAGUCUACAAUCUUAGGGGCCUGAAAGUGAUCCCCCACACUGGUACUGAAAACGGACCAACUCUACGGGAGGCAAUGAGGAUAUGGACAAUGGGUGAAACUGAUCCAGCCAUCCCGCGUGAGGGACGAAUGCCCUAAUGGGUUGUAAAACUUCUUUUGUACAGGGAUAAACCUACCCUCGUUGAGGGUAGCUGAAGGUACUAUACGAAUAAGCAACCGGCUAACUCCGGUGCCAGCAGCCGCGGUAAUACGGAGGGUGCAAGCGUUAUCCGGAUUAUUGGGUUUAAAAGGGUCCGAAGCGGAUCUGUAAUCAGUGGUGAAAUCUCAACAGUUAACUGUGAAAACUGGCAUUGAUACUUGCAGUCUUGAUGGUUGUUGAAAGUAGCUGGGAAUAAAGUAGUGUAGCGGUGAAAAUGCAUAGAUUUACUUAGAAAACCAAUUUGCGAAAGGCAGGGUUAAUAA